RNAcentral lists this ribosomal RNA (247 nucleotides) under uncultured bacterium. RNAcentral describes it as "partial 16S ribosomal RNA". It matches the Rfam family "Bacterial small subunit ribosomal RNA", at positions 531 to 776 of the family's 1533-position model. The record is from RNAcentral.
GGAGCAAGCGUUGUUCGGAUUUACUGGGCGUAAAGGGCGCGUAGGCGGCCUCUGCAAGUCGACUGUGAAAUCUCCGGGCUUAACCCGGAAAGGUCAGCCGAUACUGCAGGGCUAGAGUGCAGAAGGGGCAACUGGAAUUCUCGGUGUAGCGGUGAAAUGCGUAGAUAUCGAGAGGAACACCUGCGGCGAAGGCGGGUUGCUGGGCUGACACUGACGCUGAGGCGCGAAAGCUAGGGGAGCGAACGGG